GUCCUUGAGGACGUGCAGGAGGAGCAGGUUGUCGCCGGCGCGGAGCAGGUUGUCCGCCGCCCACUGCAGCGCCGCGCGGCUCCCCUCCGAGAAGUCCACCGCCAGGCCCACCCACCUCCCGCCGUCCGCAGCCAUGGUCGAUCUCCUCUUCUCUCUUCUCCUCGCUCGGCUCUUGGGUGGUGGUGGAGGUGGUGGAGGUCACCGCUGUUUGGAAGGAAGGGGGGAGACGCAGGAACAAUUAAGGACGACGACGGUGGUGGUGGCCUUCUCUUGUCGGCCAGAGGAUAUUUGUUUGACGCGGUGCGGUGCGGUG
This 313-nucleotide long non-coding RNA is filed under the name Triticum aestivum (bread wheat). RNAcentral describes it as "long non-coding RNA (TAES_LNC015700)". Lineage: Eukaryota; Viridiplantae; Streptophyta; Magnoliopsida; Poales; Poaceae. The record is from RNAcentral.